AUCGGACAAACCAACGCCACACACGCAUCGGCACCGCCUUCGGGGUGCCGCGGGCCCUUGGGGUACCGCGGUCGAAGCCGGGGAUGCGUGGAGGUCCCAAC
RNAcentral lists this small RNA (101 nucleotides) under Dyella sp. SG562. RNAcentral's name for it is "t44 RNA". It matches the Rfam family "t44 RNA". From Rfam's summary of the family: This family consists of a number of bacterial RNA genes of between 135 and 170 bases in length. The t44 gene is found between the map and rpsB genes in all species in the full alignment apart from Shigella flexneri. The function of this RNA is unknown. RNAcentral also lists the same sequence under 1 other name. Lineage: Bacteria; Pseudomonadati; Pseudomonadota; Gammaproteobacteria; Lysobacterales; Rhodanobacteraceae. The record is from RNAcentral.